Lolium rigidum is the source of this 1767-nucleotide long non-coding RNA. RefSeq lists it as uncharacterized. Lineage: Eukaryota; Viridiplantae; Streptophyta; Magnoliopsida; Poales; Poaceae. The transcript is spliced from 3 exons. The record is from RefSeq and is a predicted model, not a curated record.
CCUCUUAUCUCUAAAUAAGCAGCUCCUAUUGCAGAGCAUCAAGGUCAGCUUCGACGAUUUGCCAUGGACGUGCUUCGCCGCGGGGCUGCCGCCAUCGUCGAGGCUGCACUACAUCAUGCUGGUGGACUUGGUGGUGGUGCUUGACCUGGUGGUGACCAGAAGAGAGCAAGAGAGAUUCUUUUCAGGUUUCAUCUUGAUGCAGAGAGUGAUUCCAGCUCCACUUUGUUUAAUUGCAUAGGUCGGCCCUUUCAUAAACAAGGAUCAUCAACCAAUAUAGUGAAAAUUUUGGUGUGAGAACAAUGUGUAGAGGCCGCCCAGAGCGCUACCAAAGCCGCUAUCUUUUUUCCUGGAGAAUGAGAUGUCCAUCAGUUUUAUAGAUUUAAAUCACAAAACAUGGCAUGCUCAACUACACUUAUCUCAGGGGCAGCACAAGGAGAGCAGGUAACACCCAAAGAUACAGAAGCAUUAUUGAUUUCCAUGUUAUUGUGUCCUGACUAAAACCUUGACAAUGAAUGAAAGUCCUCUCGUGGAAUAGAUUGGCACGGAAUAGGUCUUCUCAUGUAAGAAUUCUUAUCAUUUGUGGCGAGGUAACAGUUUUUUCUCAUGUAAGAACUCUUAUCAUCUGUUCGGACAUCAGGAUGAGGCUCCGGAAACAAGUGAUGUGCAUCCUUUCUAAUGGCCAGCCAAGAUACAUGUAAGCUAACAGUUAGUAUCUCUCAAUCCCCUAGGUAAUACCUUUGUUUUGCCCUUUUGAGUCAACUGUUGUAAAUUUCAUUCUUUGUUGUUGUCUAUAUUAUUAUUCCUUACCACUUAUUAGAAGUCCAAAAGUACGAUCUGGAAUAAGUUGUGCAAACUGCGAAGAAUAAAAUAUAGAUGCAAACUCGAGAACAAUUUCUUAGUUGUGUAUAUUGUUUGUCUAUGGGUUUGUUGUGUUCCCAAGGCAACUGAGCUUUCAGUGGUAGAUAAUCGAUGUUUUAGUUAUAAGAACAUGUUGCUGCUUUGAGCAAUGACAAUUGGUUUUAUGUUGCACUAGAUUUCAGUGUAUUUGGUAUUUAAUCUUUCAAGAUCAAGAAAUCCGCCUCCAGCUUCUAUCCUCUUCUCAGUUAGAGGCAUUACUUAUAGAUUGCCCUUUCCUACGCAUGGCUGAAUUUACUUUAGUUGGUGUUUGUGAGUUGCUUGUACGUAGUACUAUUGCCUUCCAGAUUUUGUCAACCAAUCCUAUCUAUCAAAACUUACAGACUAAUCUUGAGUUAUUUGAUCAUUUUUAUUUCUAGCAGAAAAUCAUAGCUGAUACAUUAUGGGCUACAUUAUGGGCAGUCACGAACUGUUGAUACAUGGGUUACACCACAAUGGUAUGUCAACCAUUUUAGCAUACUUUACAUGCUCAUCUUGUUCCGUGAGUUUUGAGCUGGUAGAUGAAACAUAUCAUCAUCUCCUGGUCAUGCUUGCGGAUGCUCCAUUAUUCAUAGUGGUUUUUAGAUUGCAGUACAAUGGAUAGUUCAGAAGCUCCCCACAUGUCUGUAUUGUAUUCAAACAAAGUUGUGAUGUGCAACAUGUAUGUUCGUGCUAUUAAAAUAUCAGAUCAUGCAUGUUGUUGCCAUAAUUGUAGUCUUUGGUUUCCACUUACUAAACUUUGACCUUUUGUGAAGUCCUACUAUAAGAUGCUAUAGAAUUUAGUGGAAGUGAUCAUGGCCUUGCUGAAGACAAUGAUAGAUGUUGUGAGUAAUCAGAAUGACAGGAUGUUCGAUAAUUUUGUUGCAAAGCUGA